This 81-nucleotide transfer RNA is filed under the name Yarrowia lipolytica. It matches the Rfam family "tRNA". Rfam says of the family: Transfer RNA (tRNA) molecules are approximately 80 nucleotides in length. Their secondary structure includes four short double-helical elements and three loops (D, anti-codon, and T loops). Further hydrogen bonds mediate the characteristic L-shaped molecular structure. tRNAs have two regions of fundamental functional importance: the anti-codon, which is responsible for specific mRNA codon recognition, and the 3' end, to which the tRNAs corresponding amino acid is attached (by aminoacyl-tRNA synthetases). tRNAs cope with the degeneracy of the genetic code in two manners: having more than one tRNA (with a specific anti-codon) for a particular amino acid; and 'wobble' base-pairing, i.e. permitting non-standard base-pairing at the 3rd anti-codon position. Lineage: Eukaryota; Fungi; Ascomycota; Dipodascomycetes; Dipodascales. RNAcentral also lists the same sequence under 1 other name. The record is from Rfam by way of RNAcentral.
UCCGAUAUAGUGUAGGGGCUAUCACAUCACGCUCUCAUGUGGAGAACCGUGGAGACCGGGGUUCGAUUCCCCGUAUCGGAG